Non-coding RNA from Danio rerio (zebrafish), 2200 nucleotides. Lineage: Eukaryota; Metazoa; Chordata; Actinopteri; Cypriniformes; Danionidae. The record is from RefSeq and is a predicted model, not a curated record.
CACACAGACAAACACAAAUAGAAAGAGAACACACACACACACACUGUGUAGAUCUCCCCAUUACGAAUAGGUUUUCGUCUGAUGUUACACACACAGAGGAAGAGAAAACACGCACACACACAUUCACACAGAUAGAGAGAUCAUACACACACACAGAAGGAGAGGGAGAACAUGUGUACGUUCAGACACACAUUUACAGAGAAAGACCACACACACACAUUCUCUCUGACAUGCUCACACACACACACACAAACAAAUACAGUUAAAAAGAGAACACACACACAUACACACACACAGUGCAGAUUUCCUCAUCAGGAAUAGGUUUUCAUCUGAUGUUACACACAGAGGAAGAGAAAACACACACACACACAGAAACAGAGAGGGAGAACACGUGUAUUGUCAUAAACACAUUCUCACUAACGUGCAUGCACACACACUCUGACUCACAAAUUCACAGAGAAAGACCUCACACACACAUUCUCUCUUUGACAUGCUCACACAUACACUGACACACAGACAAUACAAAUAGAAAGAGAACACAAACACACACACACACGCAAACAGAGUGCAGAUUUCCUCAUAAGGAAUACAUUUCGAUCUGAUAUUACACACAGAGGCGGAGAAAACACACACGCACACACUCGUAUAUGGACGCAUACACACUGACGCACAAAUAAAGAUCAUACACGCACCAAACACACAGUAAGAGAGAGGAAGAACAUGCAUACAUUCAGGCAUGUGUUCUCACUAACAUGUGCACUCACAGAGAAAGACCGCACACACACACAUUCCCUCUGACAUGCUUACACAUACAGAGACACACAGAGUAGGAGAACACACACGCACACACAUAGUGCAGAUGUCCUCAUAAGGAGCAGUUGUUCAUCAGAUGGUACACACUGAGGGGGGAUUCACUGACUUCAUUAUAUGUGCUCGUAAUGAAAACAUGACCUGACACACAAUAACUGAAACAUCAUCAGCAUCCUCCGUUACUUCCCUCAGUAGUGUGCGUUUAGUGUGUGUUUAUCAGGCUGUGUGUUAAUCUGUCCCUCUUAACGGCUCCGUUUAGUGUCUGUCACAUUAUCUCUGUGAGAGCUGGAGAUAUUAAUAACCAGGAAACGUGGAGGUGUUCCUGACAGCGCAGGAGCUCAGCACAUUACAGAUCAGGAACGGGGUAUGAUCAGGCAGCAGAGUCGAUUAGCAAAGAGAAUCGAUUCCUUGAUGCAGAGUCAUAAAAGGUCUGGGAGUAGAAUACAUUUAAGAAUCUAUUCCUUGAUUCAGAGUCAUUACAAUGAAUCGAUUCCUUGAUUCAGAGUCAUUAAAAGUCUGGAAGUCGAUUGCAGAAAGAAUCGAUUCCUUUAUUCAGAGUUUUUAAAGGCCUGGGAGUCAAAUACAAAAAAUAAUUGAUUUCUUGAUUCAAAGUCAUUAAAAACAAUUGAUUCCCCAAUUCAGAGUCAUCAAAGGCCUGGAAGUCGAAAAAUAUUUGAUUCUUUGAUUAUGAUUUAGUAAAGACCUGGUAAUUGAUUGCAAAAUAAUUGAUUCCUUUAUUCAGAGUCUUUAAAGGUUUGGGAGUUGAUUACAAAAAAAAAAAAUUAUUUCUUGAUUUAGGGUCAUUAAAGGUCUGGGAGUCGAAUACAAACAGAUUUGAUUCCUUGAUUCAGAAUCAUUUAAAAGCCAGGGAGUCGAUUACAAAGAAUGCCAGAGUCAUUAAAGGCCUGGGAGUCUAUUAUAAAAAUAAUUCAUUCCUUGAUUCAGAGUCACUAAAAAGAAUUGAUUCCUUAAUUCAGAAUCAUUUAAGGCCUGCCCAACAAACACACAACGUUGCCUCAACGUAGCGACCUUCCUACAACGUUGUAUCAACAUUGCAAAAAGGUUGAGGAUUCUACGUUGUUGCUAAAGGUUGUCACAACGAUGUCAUAAGGUUGCCAUUUAAACAUCAUGAGGGUCGCAUGCUUUAGGUUGUGCUUAGGUUGCGUGGACGACCACUGUACAACAUUUACUGGUCACAGCUGAAUCAGUUUAAAUUUCAACAAGCCGUCGUCUCAUUCAUCAACGACCGAGGAGACGCUAUUUUUACAUGGAGGUAAUCUUCUAUUGAUAAUUUCUGGAUUUUAAUUAUGCAAUGUUUUCAGCUGUUGAAUUCACCUCAGAUCAGUGUUGCUGUAAUUCCUGAUCUAUGGAAAGAAGAAUUGGAUGAGGU